This 67-nucleotide transfer RNA is filed under the name marine eukaryotic metagenome. It matches the Rfam family "tRNA". From Rfam's summary of the family: Transfer RNA (tRNA) molecules are approximately 80 nucleotides in length. Their secondary structure includes four short double-helical elements and three loops (D, anti-codon, and T loops). The record is from RNAcentral.
UGGUGUAGCUCAGUUGGUAGAGCAGCUGACUUGUAAUCAGCCGGUCGGGGGUUCGACUCCUCUCACC